GCGGUCAUGGCGGAAUUGGUAGACGCGCUAGAUUCAGGUUCUAGUCGGGGUUUUCCUGGUGGAUGUUCGAUUCAUCUUGACCGCA
Molecule: transfer RNA, 85 nt
Filed under: Chlamydiota bacterium
Lineage: Bacteria; Pseudomonadati; Chlamydiota
Description: Chlamydiae bacterium tRNA-Leu
Rfam family: tRNA
About the family: Transfer RNA (tRNA) molecules are approximately 80 nucleotides in length. Their secondary structure includes four short double-helical elements and three loops (D, anti-codon, and T loops).
Source: RNAcentral